CUAAAUGUAUUUUAUAUAAAAUAUGGAAUUGUGGUUUCUGUGAAAUCUUAACUAGAUCAUUUAGU
RNAcentral lists this transfer RNA (65 nucleotides) under Ciona savignyi (Pacific transparent sea squirt). RNAcentral describes it as "tRNA (ENSCSAVG00000012504.1)". The record is from RNAcentral. Lineage: Eukaryota; Metazoa; Chordata; Ascidiacea; Phlebobranchia; Cionidae.